RNAcentral lists this ribosomal RNA (301 nucleotides) under uncultured bacterium. RNAcentral's name for it is "partial 16S ribosomal RNA". It matches the Rfam family "Bacterial small subunit ribosomal RNA", at positions 509 to 809 of the family's 1533-position model. The record is from RNAcentral.
CAGCCGCCGCGGGAAUACAGAGGGUGCGAGCGUUAAUCGGAUUUACUGGGCGUAAAGCGUGCGUAGGCGGCUAAUUGAGUCGGAUGUGAAAUCCCCGAGCUUAACUUGGGAAUUGCAUUCGAUACUGGUUAGCUAGAGUGUGGGAGAGGAUGGUAGAAUUCCAGGUGUAGCGGUGAAAUGCGUAGAGAUCUGGAGGAAUACCGAUGGCGAAGGCAGCCAUCUGGCCUAACACUGACGCUGAGGUACGAAAGCAUGGGGAGCAAACAGGAUUAGAGACCCCCGUAGUCCCUGUCUCUUAUAA